ACAGGAUCCGCCCGGCUGACGUGCGCGUGCUGCACCGUGGCGUAAACCACCGCCUGGUCCCGGUCGGGAGAGCUGCCCCGCACCGAUCCUGAGCCAGAUCGGAGAAGAACCGUGAAGCAACCCUGAAAACUGCUCUGGCACCUGGAUGUCCUGGCUGUCAGCAGGGUCCUGGCUGCAGCCACCGCUGCUCCUCCUGUGGUCUUCGAGGGAAUGGAAACGGAGAGGAGGGGGAAAUUAAAAACAUGGAAGAAGCAGCAAAAUUCCAGCUCUUUCCCUGCCCUCCCUCAGCGAGGGAGGGAGAGAUAAAGAGAGAACAGUUCCGUAUUGUUCCGCGUGCUCAGCCUGUACCCAAAGUCAUGGCAUUUAUGAAAUUCCAAACACUGGCCCGAUUUACGCAAUCUGGCAGCUCCCUGUGUUGU
This is a long non-coding RNA of Pseudopipra pipra, 419 nucleotides long. RefSeq lists it as uncharacterized. The record is from RefSeq and is a predicted model, not a curated record. NCBI's taxonomy places the organism in Eukaryota, Metazoa, Chordata, Aves, Passeriformes, Pipridae. The transcript is spliced from 2 exons.